GAGUUCACGCCCGAAAGGGUAGACCUCCCACCCUUGUGUAUUAUUACUUUGUUGCUUUGGCGAGCUGCCUUCGGGCCUUGUAUGUUCGCCAGAGAAUAUCAAAACUCUUUUUAUUAAUGUCGUCUGAGUACUAUAUAAUAGUUAAAACUUUCAACAACGGAUCUCUUUGCUCU
RNAcentral lists this unclassified non-coding RNA (173 nucleotides) under rhizosphere metagenome. RNAcentral describes it as "partial ribosomal RNA internal transcribed spacer region". The record is from RNAcentral.